Nymphaea colorata (pocket water lily) is the source of this 522-nucleotide long non-coding RNA. RefSeq lists it as uncharacterized. The transcript has 3 exons. The record is from RefSeq and is a predicted model, not a curated record. NCBI's taxonomy places the organism in Eukaryota, Viridiplantae, Streptophyta, Magnoliopsida, Nymphaeales, Nymphaeaceae.
GAAGGAAAAUCCGUAGUGAGCCCAGAUCACCAGGCUUUUCAUGGAAAGCCCAAGUUUCACAAUGCUAGAGGUUGAGAUUUGAUCCUGACUCUACAUUUUGAUGGAUGCAAAAAACUUUGUAUCAAAUCGCACUUACUUCUUUCUCCCAAUCAGUGGAGGCAGUGAUGACAAUCAAAAUUAGUGUCUGCAGAGCUAUGCCAGUAAUCAUCCCUCCCCAGAUACCCUGCAGUUGAAUGUGUUCCCAAGUAUUAAACAAGAAAUGGAAGCUAAGAAAAUUUUGUUGCCAUAUCAAGCUGGUGAUAUCUAAACAAGUUUUGACCCAGUUCGGCUGACCGAACCAAAUGUGAUGUGUCGGAAAAGCAGCAGCACCAACACCAAUGUCGACACAGGUGCACCAGCUAUUUGGAAGCACCCAGGUGACAUAGACUAAUGAACGUGCACAUUUUAAAUGAUUAUGGCAUCCAUAUGAAAACAUGUUCAUGUAAAAGAAAAUGGCGGGUUCAAUUCAGUAAGGUAGGAAGA